RNAcentral lists this long non-coding RNA (1876 nucleotides) under Nicotiana tabacum (common tobacco). Its description in RNAcentral is "long non-coding RNA (NTAB_LNC010258)". Lineage: Eukaryota; Viridiplantae; Streptophyta; Magnoliopsida; Solanales; Solanaceae. The record is from RNAcentral.
AAAACCUAGAAUAGCAGAUAGGUGUUGGCGUUGUGACAGAGUCGACGACUAUCGGGCCUGAUAUAGCUAUUGACUGUAUAAAAUUUUGUAGAAGCAGUCCAAGUAAUCAGGUACACAUAUCUUUCCAUUACUUACGGUGGUGUAGUUAAUUAAAUAAAUUGGAAUUUAUGCCUUUUCAAUAGCUAGACAAUAAUUGGGUUCCUAAUGAUGGAGUAAUAAUUAAAAACUUGUAAAGAUUUGAUAUAAGGUUAGAAUGCAAAAACGAGGUAUCAGUUUAUGUUGCACUACCAAUUAUAAAUCUCUAAUAUUAAGUAUACUAGAUAUAGAAUUAAUCAGCUAAUGAUUGGGUAAUUAUUAUUGAAUGUGAAAUAGUAUAAUGAAAUAAUGUAGUCAAUUUUGUAGCAUGAGAAGUCAUAUUUUUUUGAGCUGCUGGGUAAUAUGUGAGGCUACAGUUCGACAACUUUGUUUUUCACUAUUGAAUCUGCCGCAUUUGAUAUUCGGGUUCGGGCGUGAAUGGGUAAACGGAUUUUGGUCCGAAUCUCGAGUUUGGACCAAGCGAGCCUGAAGUCGUUUUUUAAUUUUUUUUUGAGAAAACAUAGGAAAAAUUAUAAUUUUCAGUAAAGUUAGUUCCUUUAGCAUUAAUUAAUGAUAUUAACCUAAUUAUGAUUAGAUUCGAGCGGAUUAGAGCAAGAUUCUAAAGGAAAAGCUGUAAUUGAGCAGUGAGUGGCCUGGGAAUUUGAGGUAAGUGGUUGGUCUAACUUUGACUUGAGGGAAUAAGAAUCCCCACUUGUUUUCUAUGUGAAAUGCAUGUGUGUGGUGUAUAGGUGAGGUGACAAGUAUCUAUGCACCACCAAAUGGUCUGUUAAACAUGAUCCCUUUCCCGUUUCCAAUUUAAUGGAUUCCUGUCUUAAUAGUUCUAUGUUCAUUAUUAUUUUUGUGACUAUUGGCCUUGUUAUUUGGGUGUUAAAUAUUGUUGUGGUUAUUUUGGAAAGAGAAUUGGUUGUUUAUUUGGUUCCCUUGUGGUACAAAACGGUGGAGCAGUUGGCAUUAUUUUUACGAUAUAUAUAUAUAUAUAUAUAUAUAUAUAUAUAUGUAUGUAUGUUCCUGUUGGUUUCAUGGUUGAGAGGAUAUUGAUGAAGUUUAUGAGAAAACAUAGUUUCUUAUUUGUAAUUGUUGAAACUAAAAUAUUGUGAAAGGCUUGGCCUGAAUUGUGAAAGUUUUUGAUGAAUAAACAAAAUUGAUUGUGAUAAGGGGGCGAAAUAGAUUGUGAUAAGGGUGAAUAAUUAUGUUUUACUGUUUUUAAUUAUAAAGAUUUGGGACAGUCUUUCUCAUAUUUUGUACAUGUGGGUAUUUUAAGGUAAAGUUGGGAAAUGGAAAAUUUAUUGGAGUAUUGGUCCUAGCUGAGACAUGGAAAGGGUGACUGAAUUAAUUCAAAUGGUUGUUGCAGCUAUUAUUAUUUAAUUGUUUUAGUUUUUUUUCUUGCUUUAUUAUUUAUUAUUGUCAUAGGUUAUAUUGUUAAUGACCCGCCGUAGCCUCGUCACUACUUCGUCGAGGUUAGGCUCAGUACUUAUUUAGUACAUGAGUUCGGUUGUACUGAUACUACACUCUAUGCUCUUUUGCAUAGAUCCAGGUACUGGCCAAUAGUAGAGGUUGUUAGAGCAACUAUCCAUUCCUUCGGAGACACGAGGUAUAUCUGCCGGCGUCCGCGGAUCUCAAGAGUCUUCUCUAUAUUAUUUAGACUACUGUUUUAUUUGAUUCAAAACAGUUAUACAUUAUUUCUUCCAGCCCAUUAUUUGUAGUAUUCUUUAGUAGUUCGUGAGUUGUAACACCAGACCCUGGGGUAGUUUUAAGUUAUUUAUAUAAUUAGUCUCGUGGC